This 395-nucleotide unclassified non-coding RNA is filed under the name soil metagenome. RNAcentral's name for it is "partial contains 5.8S ribosomal RNA, internal transcribed spacer 2, and large subunit ribosomal RNA". The stretch from base 1 to 122 matches the Rfam family "5.8S ribosomal RNA", at positions 35 to 154 of the family's 154-position model. The record is from RNAcentral.
GAUGAAGAACGUAGCGAAAUGCGAUACUUGGUGUGAAUUGCAGAAUCCCGUGAACCAUCGAGUCUUUGAACGCAAGUUGCGCCCGAAGCCAUCAGGUUGAGGGCACGUCUGCCUGGGCGUCACAUAUCGUUGCCCAAUGCCUAUUGCAGUGCAAUAGGAAUUUCUAGGGCGAAUGAUGGCUUCCCGUGAGCGUUGUUGCCUCGCGGUUGGUUGAAAAUCGAGUCCUUGGUAGGGUGUGCCAUGGUAGAUGGUGGUCGAGUUAGAACGAUACCGAUCAUGUGCAUGCUCCCCAAAAUAUGGCCUCUAUGACCCACACGCGUCUUUUGACGCUCAUGACGAGACCUCAGGUCAGGCGGGGCUACCCGCUGAAUUUAAGCAUAUCAAUAGGCGGAGGA